GUGGCAUGCGGGGCUAUACAUGCAGUCGAGCGAACAGAUAAGGAGCUUGCUCCUUUGACGUUAGCGGCGGACGGGUGAGUAACACGUGGAUAACCUACCUAUAAGACUGGGAUAACUUCGGGAAACCGGAGCUAAUACCGGAUAACAUAUUGAACCGCAUGGUUCAAUAGUGAAAGGCGGCUUUGCUGUCACUUAUAGAUGGAUCCGCGCCGUAUUAGCUAGUUGGUAAGGUAACGGCUUACCAAGGCAACGAUACGUAGCCGACCUGAGAGGGUGAUCGGCCACACUGGAACUGAGACACGGUCCAGACUCCUACGGGAGGCAGCAGUAGGGAAUCUUCCGCAAUGGGCGAAAGCCUGACGGAGCAACGCCGCGUGAGUGAUGAAGGUCUUCGGAUCGUAAAACUCUGUUAUCAGGGAAGAACAAAUGUGUAAGUAACUGUGCACAUCUUGACGGUACCUGAUCAGAAAGCCACGGCUAACUACGUGCCAGCAGCCGCGGUAAUACGUAGGUGGCAAGCGUUAUCCGGAAUUAUUGGGCGUAAAGCGCGCGUAGGCGGUUUUUUAAGUCUGAUGUGAAAGCCCACGGCUCAACCGUGGAGGGUCAUUGGAAACUGGAAAACUUGAGUGCAGAAGAGGAAAGUGGAAUUCCAUGUGUAGCGGUGAAAUGCGCAGAGAUAUGGAGGAACACCAGUGGCGAAGGCGACUUUCUGGUCUGUAACUGACGCUGAUGUGCGAAAGCGUGGGGAUCAAACAGGAUUAGAUACCCUGGUAGUCCACGCCGUAAACGAUGAGUGCUAAGUGUUAGGGGGUUUCCGCCCCUUAGUGCUGCAGCUAACGCAUUAAGCACUCCGCCUGGGGGAGUACGACCCGCAAGGUUGAAACUCAAAGGAAUUGACGGGGACCCGCACAAGCGUGAGCAUGUGGUUUAAUUCGAAGCAACGCGAAGAACUUACCAAUCUUGACAUCUUUGACUGUCUAGAGAUAGAGUCUCCCUCGGGGGAAAAGUGGACAGUGUGCAUGUGUCGUCAGCUCUGUUCUGAGAAUGUGAUAGUCCCGCACACGCAUCUAGCUUAAUUGCAUCAUAGUGGCACUCUAUUUGACUGCGGUGACAAUCGGAAGAGUGGAUACUCAAUCUCAUAGCUAAUUGGCUAACUUGUCAAUGGCAAUUCAAUGCACGUAAUCCG
This 1186-nucleotide ribosomal RNA is filed under the name Staphylococcus sp. Its description in RNAcentral is "bacterial SSU rRNA". It matches the Rfam family "Bacterial small subunit ribosomal RNA", at positions 39 to 1105 of the family's 1533-position model. The record is from RNAcentral. Lineage: Bacteria; Bacillati; Bacillota; Bacilli; Caryophanales; Staphylococcaceae.